This 322-nucleotide long non-coding RNA is filed under the name Marmota monax (woodchuck). Lineage: Eukaryota; Metazoa; Chordata; Mammalia; Rodentia; Sciuridae. The record is from RNAcentral.
GGAAGGGCUGGGUGUGUGGCAGCUGGGGACAGGUAGUCCUGGCAGCCACUGGGCCAAGGGGCUGCCUGACAGACAUGCGCUCUGCUUCUCUGCCUUCUAGCCCUCUGGAUGUUGGCCCUAGCCUUCUGCUCAGGCACAGCCCAGGUCCCCUCCUGCUCCAGGAGGGCCACCCAGAGGCCUACUUCAUGACUGAGCCUCAGGAGGGUCUGUCUGCCUACCAGGGAGCUGGCACAUUGUAAACCAGGAGGGCCAGGGACAGGAUCCUGGGAAGGACCAGCCUGGUGGGUACCUGAGGGAGAGGGAGGGGUAGGCAGGGGGCUGG